Molecule: ribosomal RNA, 1339 nt
Filed under: Kocuria rosea
Lineage: Bacteria; Bacillati; Actinomycetota; Actinomycetes; Micrococcales; Micrococcaceae
Description: bacterial SSU rRNA
Rfam family: Bacterial small subunit ribosomal RNA
Source: RNAcentral
UUGCUGGGCGGAUUAGUGGCGAACGGGUGAGUAAUACGUGAGUAACCUGCCCUUGACUCUGGGAUAAGCCUGGGAAACUGGGUCUAAUACUGGAUACUACCUCUUGCCGCAUGGUGGGUGGUGGAAAGGGUUUUACUGGUUUUGGAUGGGCUCACGGCCUAUCAGCUUGUUGGUGGGGUAAUGGCUCACCAAGGCGACGACGGGUAGCCGGCCUGAGAGGGUGACCGGCCACACUGGGACUGAGACACGGCCCAGACUCCUACGGGAGGCAGCAGUGGGGAAUAUUGCACAAUGGGCGGAAGCCUGAUGCAGCGACGCCGCGUGAGGGAUGACGGCCUUCGGGUUGUAAACCUCUUUCAGUAGGGAAGAAGCGAGAGUGACGGUACCUGCAGAAGAAGCGCCGGCUAACUACGUGCCAGCAGCCGCGGUAAUACGUAGGGCGCAAGCGUUGUCCGGAAUUAUUGGGCGUAAAGAGCUCGUAGGCGGUUUGUCGCGUCUGCUGUGAAAGCCCGGGGCUCAACCCCGGGUCUGCAGUGGGUACGGGCAGACUAGAGUGCAGUAGGGGAGACUGGAAUUCCUGGUGUAGCGGUGAAAUGCGCAGAUAUCAGGAGGAACACCGAUGGCGAAGGCAGGUCUCUGGGCUGUUACUGACGCUGAGGAGCGAAAGCAUGGGGAGCGAACAGGAUUAGAUACCCUGGUAGUCCAUGCCGUAAACGUUGGGCACUAGGUGUGGGGGACAUUCCACGUUUUCCGCGCCGUAGCUAACGCAUUAAGUGCCCCGCCUGGGGAGUACGGCCGCAAGGCUAAAACUCAAAGGAAUUGACGGGGGCCCGCACAAGCGGCGGAGCAUGCGGAUUAAUUCGAUGCAACGCGAAGAACCUUACCAAGGCUUGACAUUCACCGGACCGCCCCAGAGAUGGGGUUUCCCUUCGGGGCUGGUGGACAGGUGGUGCAUGGUUGUCGUCAGCUCGUGUCGUGAGAUGUUGGGUUAAGUCCCGCAACGAGCGCAACCCUCGUUCUAUGUUGCCAGCACGUGAUGGUGGGGACUCAUAGGAGACUGCCGGGGUCAACUCGGAGGAAGGUGGGGAUGACGUCAAAUCAUCAUGCCCCUUAUGUCUUGGGCUUCACGCAUGCUACAAGGCCGGUACAAAGGGUUGCGAUACUGUGAGGUGGAGCUAAUCCCAAAAAGCCGGUCUCAGUUCGGAUUGAGGUCUGCAACUCGACCUCAUGAAGUCGGAGUCGCUAGUAAUCGCAGAUCAGCAACGCUGCGGUGAAUACGUUCCCGGGCCUUGUACACACCGCCCGUCAAGUCACGAAAGUUGGUAACACCCGAAGCCGG